AGUGGCGAACGGGUGAGUAACACGUGAGUAACCUGCCCUUGACUCUGGGAUAAGCCUGGGAAACUGGGUCUAAUACCGGAUAUGACUCCUCAUCGCAUGGUGGGGGGUGGAAAGCUUUUGUGGUUUUGGAUGGACUCGCGGCCUAUCAGCUUGUUGGUGGGGUAAUGGCCUACCAAGGCGACGACGGGUAGCCGGCCUGAGAGGGUGACCGGCCACACUGGGACUGAGACACGGCCCAGACUCCUACGGGAGGCAGCAGUGGGGAAUAUUGCACAAUGGGCGCAAGCCUGAUGCAGCGACGCCGCGUGAGGGAUGACGGCCUUCGGGUUGUAAACCUCUUUCAGUAGGGAAGAAGCCUUUCGGGGUGACGGUACUUGCAGAAGAAGCGCCGGCUAACU
Molecule: ribosomal RNA, 398 nt
Filed under: Arthrobacter sp.
Lineage: Bacteria; Bacillati; Actinomycetota; Actinomycetes; Micrococcales; Micrococcaceae
Description: bacterial SSU rRNA
Rfam family: Bacterial small subunit ribosomal RNA
Source: RNAcentral